Molecule: ribosomal RNA, 253 nt
Filed under: uncultured bacterium
Lineage: Bacteria
Description: partial 16S ribosomal RNA
Rfam family: Bacterial small subunit ribosomal RNA
Source: RNAcentral
UACAUAGGGAGCAAGCGUUAAUCGGAAUUACUGGGCGUAAAGCGUGCGUAGACGGUCACAUAAGUCAGAUGUGAAAGCCCCGGGCUCAACCUGGGAAUUGCAUUUGAGACUGCGUAGCUAGGGUGCGGAAGAGGGAAGCGGAAUUUCCGGUGUAGCGGUGAAAUGCGUAGAUAUCGGAAGGAACACCAGUGGCGAAAGCGGCUUCCUGGUCCAGCCCCGACGUUCAGGCACGAAAGCGUGGGGAGCAAACAGG